RNAcentral lists this unclassified non-coding RNA (372 nucleotides) under Drosophila mojavensis. RNAcentral describes it as "GI26864". The record is from RNAcentral. Lineage: Eukaryota; Metazoa; Arthropoda; Insecta; Diptera; Drosophilidae.
ACUUGCAGAACCCUCCACGACUCGCGAUAAACGGCAGCGCAGCACUGUGUCGAGUGUCGAGUGUCGAGUCCAGCGUAGCACAAGCCCACCAUUGGGCCAUUUCAAACUGGCACAUCAAUUUUGGUUUUCCUAUCCGCCACCUGGCGCUGGCGGCGGCUCCUCAACUCAGCUACAAAUUCUAGCAAGAUCGUAUAUGUAAAACUUGCCACACACACACACACGCACACACAUAAACAUUCAUAUACACACACACACACACAGACACACUGAAACACAUGUUAGCAUAGCUGCAAGUGUAUUUGUAUAUUCAGUGUUUCCUCGACUCGAAAGCAAAACAAAACAGAACGCUAAACAAACAACAACAGCAAUAAA